UGCCAGCGAGUGUCUCUUAAGCCGAACUUUCGCCUGAUAAACCAAAUAGGGGGGCCAGCGAGAUCAUCUCAAGCCAUGCCUACCCCGACUUAUCCAUAAAAAGAUUAGGUCCCAGCGAGUCAAGCUCAAGCUGCGUCUACCCGUCAGACGUAAACCAAAAUCACUGCAGCGGCUAGGCGGAGGAGGAAGGCUGUCCCGGCUUACCUGACAAUUUU
This 215-nucleotide unclassified non-coding RNA is filed under the name Hevea brasiliensis (rubber tree). Lineage: Eukaryota; Viridiplantae; Streptophyta; Magnoliopsida; Malpighiales; Euphorbiaceae. The record is from RNAcentral.